RNAcentral lists this long non-coding RNA (1066 nucleotides) under Sus scrofa (pig). Its description in RNAcentral is "lncRNA (ENSSSCG00005030974.1)". The record is from RNAcentral. Lineage: Eukaryota; Metazoa; Chordata; Mammalia; Artiodactyla; Suidae.
CGGAAGGCGGCUUCCUCUGGACACGAGCACAGGUGAGCUGUGUAGACGGGGCCUGCGUUAGCAAACAGCCCGCCCACCACGCUCCCUCCUCGUCCCAGGCGGUGAACUGCAGGGCGGGCGCACCUGUCUUGCUCAGCAUGUUGGAGGUGCCAGGCAGAAAAUGGGGUGAGGCCUGUGUUCGUGGGGCCCGGGGAUGUUGCCAGGUAGAAAAUGGGGUGAGACCUGUGUUUGGAAGGCCCGGGGGAGGUGCCAGGUAGAAAAUGGGGUGAGACCUGUGUUCGUGGGGCCCGGGGGAGGUGCCAGGUAGAAAAUGGGGUGAGACCUGUGUUCGUGGGGCCCGGGGGAGGUGCCAGGUAGAAAAUGGGGUGAGACCUGUGUUUGGAGGGCCCAGGGGAGGUGCCAGGCAGAAAAUGGGGUGAGACCUGUGUUUGGAGGGCCCAGGGGAGGUGCCAGGCAGAAAAUGGGGUGAGACUUGUGUUCGUGGGGCCCGAGGGAGGUGCCAGGUAGAAAAUGGGGGCGGGCCCGUGUUUGUGGGACCCGGGGGAGGUGCCAGGUAGAAAACGGGGUGAGACCUGUGCCCGGGGGAGGUGCCAGGUAGAAAAUGGGGUGAGACCUGUGUUCGUGGGGCCCCGGGGGAGGUGCCAGGCAGAAAAUGGGGUGGGACCGGUGUUUGUGGGGCCCGGGGGAGGUGCCAGGUAGAAAUGAUGUCGAAACCAGAGCAGGUGACAAGGAGAACGGGGUGGGGUCUGUGUUGGUGGGAGUCUGGUUUGGGAAGCAGCACAUGGGGCGCCUGCAGGGCUGCUCAGAGGCCUGGCGGAGGUUCACACGGUUGAGCUCUUAGAUAUUUAAUAUAAAACAUUGGAUUGGGGGAGUUCCCAUUGUGGCUCAGCAGUAAUGAACCCAACUGGUAUCCGUGAGGACACGGGUUCAAUCCCUGUCCUCGCUCAGUGGGUCAGCGAUCCUGUGUUGCCAUGAGCUGUGGUGAAGGUCACAGAUGCGGUUCGGAUCUGGCAUUGCUGUGGCUGUGGUGUAAGCAGACAGCUGCAGCUCUGAUUCGACCCCUAGC